Molecule: ribosomal RNA, 497 nt
Filed under: uncultured bacterium
Lineage: Bacteria
Description: partial 16S ribosomal RNA
Rfam family: Bacterial small subunit ribosomal RNA
Source: RNAcentral
GAUGAACGCUGGCGGCGGGCCUAAUACAUGCAAGUCGAGCGGACAGAUGAGGAUUUUGCUCCUCUGACGUUAGGGACGGAUGAGUGAGUACCACGUGGAUAACCUACCUAGGAGACUGGGAUAACUUCGCGAAACCGGAGCUCACAUCGGAUAAGAUAUUGAACCUCAUGGAUCAAUAGUGAAAGACGUUUUUGCUGUCACUAAUAGAUGGAUCCGGGCUGGUGUAGCUAGUUGGUACGGUAACGGCCUACCAAGGCGAGGAUGCGUAGCCGAACUGAGAGGGUGAUAGGCCACACUAGAAGUGAGACACGGUCCAGACUCCUACGGGAGGCAGCAGUGGGGAAUGUUCGGCAAUGGGCGAAAGCCUGACGCAGCAAGGCCGCGUGUGUGAUGAAGGUCUUCGGAUCGUAAAACACUCUUAUUAGGGGUGAACAGAUGUCUAAGUAUCCAUACCUGUCUUGACGGUACCUAAUAAAAAAGCAACGGCUAACUACGUG